CGCGAAUUCGCCCUUAGAGUUUGAUCCUGGCUCAGGAUGAACGCUAGCUACAGGCUUAACACAUGCAAGUCGAGGGGCAGCAUGGUCUUAGCUUGCUAAGGCCGAUGGCGACCGGCGCACGGGUGAGUAACACGUAUCCAACCUGCCGUCUACUCUUGGACAGCCUUCUGAAAGGAAGAUUAAUACAAGAUGGCAUCAUGAGUCCGCAUGUUCACAUGAUUAAAGGUAUUCCGGUAGACGAUGGGGAUGCGUUCCAUUAGAUAGUAGGCGGGGUAACGGCCCACCUAGUCUUCGAUGGAUAGGGGUUCUGAGAGGAAGGUCCCCCACAUUGGAACUGAGACACGGUCCAAACUCCUACGGGAGGCAGCAGUGAGGAAUAUUGGUCAAUGGGCGAGAGCCUGAACCAGCCAAGUAGCGUGAAGGAUGACUGCCCUAUGGGUUGUAAACUUCUUUUAUAAAGGAAUAAAGUCGGGUAUGCAUACCCGUUUGCAUGUACUUUAUGAAUAAGGAUCGGCUAACUCCGUGCCAGCAGCCGCGGUAAUACGGAGGAUCCGAGCGUUAUCCGGAUUUAUUGGGUUUAAAGGGAGCGUAGAUGGAUGUUUAAGUCAGUUGUGAAAGUUUGCGGCUCAACCGUAAAAUUGCAGUUGAUACUGGAUAUCUUGAGUGCAGUUGAGGCAGGCGGAAUUCGUGGUGUAGCGGUGAAAUGCUUAGAUAUCACGAAGAACUCCGAUUGCGAAGGCAGCCUGCUAAGCUGCAACUGACAUUGAGGCUCGAAAGUGUGGGUAUCAAACAGGAUUAGAUACCCUGGUAGUCCGCACGGUAAACGAUGGAUGCCCGCUGUUGGUCUGAAUAGGUCAGCGGCCAAGCGAAAGCGUUAAGUAUUCCACCUGGGGAGUACGCCGGCAACGGUGAAACUCAAAUGAAUUGACGG
This 931-nucleotide ribosomal RNA is filed under the name uncultured bacterium. Its description in RNAcentral is "bacterial SSU rRNA". It matches the Rfam family "Bacterial small subunit ribosomal RNA", at positions 1 to 916 of the family's 1533-position model. The record is from RNAcentral.